RNAcentral lists this ribosomal RNA (1181 nucleotides) under Citrobacter portucalensis. Its description in RNAcentral is "partial 23S ribosomal RNA". It matches the Rfam family "Bacterial large subunit ribosomal RNA", at positions 588 to 1768 of the family's 2925-position model. The record is from RNAcentral. Lineage: Bacteria; Pseudomonadati; Pseudomonadota; Gammaproteobacteria; Enterobacterales; Enterobacteriaceae.
GGGGUGUGACUGCGUACCUUUUGUAUAAUGGGUCAGCGACUUAUAUUCUGUAGCAAGGUUAACCGAAUAGGGGAGCCGAAGGGAAACCGAGUCUUAACUGGGCGUUAAGUUGCAGGGUAUAGACCCGAAACCCGGUGAUCUAGCCAUGGGCAGGUUGAAGGUUGGGUAACACUAACUGGAGGACCGAACCGACUAAUGUUGAAAAAUUAGCGGAUGACUUGUGGCUGGGGGUGAAAGGCCAAUCAAACCGGGAGAUAGCUGGUUCUCCCCGAAAGCUAUUUAGGUAGCGCCUCGUGAAUUCAUCUUCGGGGGUAGAGCACUGUUUCGGCUAGGGGGUCAUCCCGACUUACCAACCCGAUGCAAACUGCGAAUACCGAAGAAUGUUAUCACGGGAGACACACGGCGGGUGCUAACGUCCGUCGUGAAGAGGGAAACAACCCAGACCGCCAGCUAAGGUCCCAAAGUCAUGGUUAAGUGGGAAACGAUGUGGGAAGGCACAGACAGCCAGGAUGUUGGCUUAGAAGCAGCCAUCAUUUAAAGAAAGCGUAAUAGCUCACUGGUCGAGUCGGCCUGCGCGGAAGAUGUAACGGGGCUAAACCAUGCACCGAAGCUGCGGCAGCGACACUAUGUGUUGUUGGGUAGGGGAGCGUUCUGUAAGCCGUUGAAGGUGUACUGUGAGGUAUGCUGGAGGUAUCAGAAGUGCGAAUGCUGACAUAAGUAACGAUAAUGCGGGUGAAAAACCCGCACGCCGGAAGACCAAGGGUUCCUGUCCAACGUUAAUCGGGGCAGGGUGAGUCGACCCCUAAGGCGAGGCCGAAAGGCGUAGUCGAUGGGAAACAGGUUAAUAUUCCUGUACUUGGUGUUACUGCGAAGGGGGGACGGAGAAGGCUAUGUUAGCCGGGCGACGGUUGUCCCGGUUUAAGCAUGUAGGCGGAGGUUCCAGGUAAAUCCGGUACCUUAUUAACGCUGAGGUGUGAUGACGAGGCACUACGGUGCUGAAGUAACAAAUGCCCUGCUUCCAGGAAAAGCCUCUAAGCAUCAGGUAACACGAAAUCGUACCCCAAACCGACACAGGUGGUCAGGUAGAGAAUACCAAGGCGCUUGAGAGAACUCGGGUGAAGGAACUAGGCAAAAUGGUGCCGUAACUUCGGGAGAAGGCACGCUGAUAUGUAGGUGAAGUG